This is a non-coding RNA of Pelobates cultripes (western spadefoot toad), 713 nucleotides long. Lineage: Eukaryota; Metazoa; Chordata; Amphibia; Anura; Pelobatidae. The record is from the annotation of a GenBank genome assembly.
CAGAGGAUUGAGCAGUGAGACUGCAGGGGCAUGUUAUAUACACCAAAACUGCUUCAUUAAGCUAAAGUUGUUCAGGUGACUUUAGUUUUUUUUUGUUCACUUUGCUGCCAAACUAUUGCUUUGUUCACAUUUCUCGAUCUGGACACCAACAGCUUCCCUGUCAGAGCCUUUGGGGCCCCCGGGCAAAAUGUAAUUUCAUUAGAUUAUUAUUUUAUUUAUAUAGCGCCAUCAGAUUCCAUAGCGCUGUACAAUGGGUGGAAUAACAGACAUGUAAUUGUGACCAGACAACUGGACGUACAGGAACAGAGAGGUGGAGGGUAAAUGUUAAAUAUAACUCUCAUAUAAUAUGGCAUUCCUUUGGAUAUGUACAGUGUGAACAAUGCAUGUUUGUAUUUGAGUCUGUGUGAAUGCACUUGUGCAUGUCUGCAUGAUACAUGUGCUUUUUUGUAUAUAGUGUCAGUGUGAAUGCAUCUAACAUUUUAAUUUUAGAAUUUGGAUUUAUUUAGUAAAUUACUCUAAAUAUUGUCUCUCCCCUUGUCAUAGCGUGUGCUGGCUGCAUAUGUUGUGUGCUGCCUGUAUGUAUGUAAUGUAUGUAAUGUGUGUGUGCUGCCUGUAUGGACUGGAGGGGUGGCUGGAUUUUUAGAGUAAUUUGAUUCAGACUUUUAUUCUCUACAAUGUGAGUGUUUUAUGCAAAUAUAAACAAUACUUGUAAU